AUGUCGUAUGAAAGGAGAGAAGGUCAGCACGUCCCUUCACAAGGAUGGAAGAGGCCGCUAGGCCUAAUAACAUGCAUACAGCUAAGGCAUUGCUAACUGCCUUGUGGCAUCUAACCACUGUGUUUU
Small nuclear RNA from Acomys russatus (golden spiny mouse), 126 nucleotides. The record is from RefSeq and is a predicted model, not a curated record. NCBI's taxonomy places the organism in Eukaryota, Metazoa, Chordata, Mammalia, Rodentia, Muridae.